RNAcentral lists this ribosomal RNA (497 nucleotides) under uncultured bacterium. RNAcentral's name for it is "partial 16S ribosomal RNA". It matches the Rfam family "Bacterial small subunit ribosomal RNA", at positions 28 to 507 of the family's 1533-position model. The record is from RNAcentral.
GAUGAACGCUGGCGGCGUGCCUAAUACAUGCAAGUCGAGCGAACGGACGAGAAGCUUGCUUUUCUGAUGUUAGCGGCGGACGGGUGAGUAACACGUGGAUAACCUACCUAUAAGACUGGGAUAACUUCGGGAAACCGGAGCUAAUACCGGAUAAUAUUUUGAACCGCAUGGUUCAAAAGUGAAAGACGGUCUUGCUGUCACUUAUAGAUGGAUCCGCGCUGCAUUAGCUAGUUGGUAAGGUAACGGCUUACCAAGGCAACGAUGCGUAGCCGACCUGAGAGGGGGAACGGCCACACUGGAACUGAGACACGGUCCAGACUCCUACGGGAGGCAGCAGUAGGGAAUCUUCCGCAAUGGGCGAAAGCCUGACGGAGCAACGCCGCGUGAGUGAUGAAGGUCUUCGGAUCGUAAAACUCUGUUAUUAGGGAAGAACAUAUGUGUAAGUAACUGUGCACAUCUUGACGGUACCUAAUCAGAAAGCCACGGCUAACUACGUG